This 264-nucleotide ribosomal RNA is filed under the name uncultured Eubacteriales bacterium. Its description in RNAcentral is "uncultured Clostridiales bacterium partial 16S ribosomal RNA". It matches the Rfam family "Bacterial small subunit ribosomal RNA", at positions 74 to 339 of the family's 1533-position model. Lineage: Bacteria; Bacillati; Bacillota; Clostridia; Eubacteriales. The record is from RNAcentral.
AUUGAUUCUUGACUGACUGAGCGGCGGACGGGUGAGUAACGCGUGGGUGACCUGCCCCAUACCGGGGGAUAACAGCUGGAAACGGCUGCUAAUACCGCAUAAGCGCACAGAGCUGCAUGGCUCAGUGUGAAAAACUCCGGUGGUAUGGGAUGGGCCCGCGUCUGAUUAGGCAGUUGGCGGGGUAACGGCCCACCAAACCGACGAUCAGUAGCCGGACUGAGAGGUUGAACGGCCACAUUGGGACUGAGACACGGCCCAGACUCC